This 492-nucleotide ribosomal RNA is filed under the name uncultured bacterium. Its description in RNAcentral is "partial 16S ribosomal RNA". It matches the Rfam family "Bacterial small subunit ribosomal RNA", at positions 29 to 507 of the family's 1533-position model. The record is from RNAcentral.
AGUGAACGCUGGCGGUAUGCCUAACACAUGCAAGUCGAACGGCAGCACAGUAAGAGCUUGCUCUUACGGGUGGCGAGUGGCGGACGGGUGAGGAAUACAUCGGAAUCUACUUUUUCGUGGGGGAUAACGUAGGGAAACUUACGCUAAUACCGCAUACGACCUACGGGUGAAAGCAGGGGAUCUUCGGACCUUGCGCGAUUGAAUGAGCCGAUGUCGGAUUAGCUAGUUGGCGGGGUAAAGGCCCACCAAGGCGACGAUCCGUAGCUGGUCUGAGAGGAUGAUCAGCCACACUGGAACUGGGACACGGUCCAGACUCCUACGGGAGGCAGCAGUGGGGAAUAUUGGACAAUGGGCGGAAGCCUGAUCCAGCCAUACCGCGUGGGUGAAGAAGGCCUUCGGGUUGUAAAGCCCUUUUGUUGGGAAAGAAAAGCAGCCGGUUAAUACCCAGCUGUUCUGACGGUAACCAAAGAAUAAGCACCGGCUAACUUCGUG